CCUACGGGUGGCAGCAGUGAGGAAUAUUGGUCAAUGGACGAGAGUCUGAACCAGCCAAGUAGCGUGAAGGAUGACUGCCCUAUGGGUUGUAAACUUCUUUUAUAUGGGAAUAAAAUGUUCCACGUGUGGGAUUUUGUAUGUACCAUAUGAAUAAGGAUCGGCUAACUCCGUGCCAGCAGCCGCGGUAAUACGGAGGAUCCGAGCGUUAUCCGGAUUUAUUGGGGUUAAAGGGAGCGUAGGUGGAUUGUUAAGUCAGUUGUGAAAGUUUGCGGCUCAACCGUAAAAUUGCAGUUGAAACUGGCAGUCUUGAGUACAGUAGAGGUGGGCGGAAUUCGUGGUGUAGCGGUGAAAUGCUUAGAUAUCAAGAAGAACUCUGAUUGCGAAGGCAGUUCACUGGACUGCAACUGACACUGAGGCGCGAAAGUGUGGGUAUCAAACAGGAUUAGAUACCCGAGUAGUC
RNAcentral lists this ribosomal RNA (460 nucleotides) under uncultured bacterium. RNAcentral describes it as "partial 16S ribosomal RNA". It matches the Rfam family "Bacterial small subunit ribosomal RNA", at positions 338 to 795 of the family's 1533-position model. The record is from RNAcentral.